This 253-nucleotide ribosomal RNA is filed under the name uncultured bacterium. RNAcentral describes it as "partial 16S ribosomal RNA". It matches the Rfam family "Bacterial small subunit ribosomal RNA", at positions 524 to 776 of the family's 1533-position model. The record is from RNAcentral.
UACGUAGGUGGCAAGCGUUGUCCGGAUUUAUUGGGUUUAAAGGGUGCGUAGGCGGUUCCUUAAGUCAGUUGUGAAAUACGGCAGCUUAACUGUCGAGGUGCAAUUGAUACUGGGGAACUAGAGUACUGAUGAGGUAUGCGGAAUGGACGGUGUAGCGGUGAAAUGCGUAGAUAUCGGGAGGAACACCUGUGGCGAAAGCGGCUCACUGGACCACAACUGACGCUGAGGCGCGAAAGCUAGGGGAGCAAACAGG